ACAGAGGUCCCAAGCGUUGUUCGGAUUCACUGGGCGUAAAGGGUGCGUAGGUGGUGAAUUAAGUCGGGUGUGAAAUCUCCGGGCUCAACCCGGAGCGUGCGCCCGAAACUGAUUUGCUAGAGGAUAGGAGGGGAGACUGGAAUUCUCGGUGUAGCAGUGAAAUGCGUAGAUAUCGAGAGGAACACCGGUGGCGAAGGCGAGUCUCUGGACUAUUCCUGACACUGAAUCACGAAAGCCGGGGGAGCAAACAGGA
RNAcentral lists this ribosomal RNA (253 nucleotides) under uncultured prokaryote. Its description in RNAcentral is "partial 16S ribosomal RNA". It matches the Rfam family "Bacterial small subunit ribosomal RNA", at positions 525 to 777 of the family's 1533-position model. The record is from RNAcentral.